RNAcentral lists this long non-coding RNA (259 nucleotides) under Elaeis guineensis (African oil palm). RNAcentral's name for it is "long non-coding RNA (EGUI_LNC044944)". Lineage: Eukaryota; Viridiplantae; Streptophyta; Magnoliopsida; Arecales; Arecaceae. The record is from RNAcentral.
AUUACAUAGAUUGUGAUAAAGUAAUAAAUGAGAAUAAUAGCUUGAUAUUAAUGUUAACAGAAAUAAUAGCAAUUGAAAUGAAAUCCUAGUUGAAUGAAAAUUGCUGAUCUGGCUAUAUAUGAUGAACAUAUCAAGGUUGCUAUGAUGGAGUAUUGUAUACAUCUAAACUGUCAUAUAUUGAAACUUUAUGAAUAUUUUUAUAGCAUUAUUAAGUUGGGCAUAUGAGUGCUCAAUAUUAUUAAUUGUUGAGAUUUGAAUU